UAUCGACUUGAUAUUCUGCGUGCGACGAAGGGGGCACACGUGGAAGUUCAUUGACAAGGCUUCUUCACUACUGUCACAUCUAAAUGCGACAUCAUCUUGAAAUUGCCGACAGUUUUUCCCUUCAUGUAUAGCAGCACAUGUUAGGCAAUUGGUGUGUUUACAGACAGGACACAAAAAAGUGUUAACGUUAUCUUCAAAAAGACACCAUCCAGGACAAUCAGGAGUUUUACAAUGAAAACUGUCUAGAGCUUGGCUUUCUGCUAAUGCCAUACUUCUCUGCAAGUGUUUCUCAUAUACCUGAGAUGACUUUCGCAGGAAUAUUCAUCAUUGCGAAAAGGGCAUUUGAUAACUGCUGUUUCUGAAUACUGAAUAGCACUUGCAAGACAUUCCCUGAAACAAUAUUGAAAUUUCGUUUUAAAAUUAUCCAUGUUAUUGCACAAAAAUUUUAAUAAUUAAACAAUUUUUAACAUUUUUUAAAUGCAAUCCAUAGACAAAAUAAUUCAUCUGAAACUACUAAAUGACAUACUAUUAAAAGUAACUGGAAAAUAGCAGUCAACUUACAUCCUUCUUCAUAGAAACUAAACUAGCUUAUUCAGAAUUAAUGGGUUUUACAUGAAACAAUGAGAAGGUCUUAUGACUAUAUUCAGACAUCAUGCUUACCCAUUACUGGCACUGAAUCACACUGUUCGGUGACAAUUUUUGUUUGCUCUAAAGUCACAGACAUAUAUGUACUAAUAAUGACUUUUCAAGCCACUCAAUUGUUUAAUUUUUUGGGAAAAAGUUUCUAAUAUUUCAAAAUAUUCCAGUUGCUUGAGCUUUCCUGUUAGUUCAAUGUCAGAUGGUUGGGCUACAGUAAAUGUGGAUUAUUGGUACAUAAAUAAUUAAUUAAAAUGUACUCAUUCUCAAGCACUAUUUAAUAAAAAAGCUAAUGCUCUUAUAUGUUUUUAAAUGAAGUAUAAGGAAAAUUAUGCCAAUACAAUCUGCUGGAAAAUUGUAGCAGAGAGAAAGGACUAAAUGGCAGGAAAAUAUUUCAAGAAAAGAAAUAGAACUUUUGUAAAAAUACCAUGAAGAAUUUUAUAUAAAAAGAAUUUGUGCAUCUAUCAGUGAAAUUACUUUCAAAAUAAUGUUCAUGUUGCUAAAAUAGAGAUUAAAAAAUAUUUUUAAAAAAUAUUUCUAUUUUACUUCUUACAAAAAAAACCUUCAACAUUAUGGCUUUUCCCUAAAAUGAAUACCUUCAACAGCUAUCACUUUCUAUUGCAAUUGGAUUAGCAACAGUACUAGCAAUUAACAGAAGGUAACUAAAACUGAAAUCCUAGAUUUAUUAUAAGAAAAUUCUCCAUUCUUUAGAUCCUUCCUAUUUUCCCACUGUUUGGUCUACUUUCAUUAUCAAAUGAUUUUGUUACAGUCUACUUUCAUUACCAAAUGAUUUUGUUACAGUCUACUUUCAUUACCAAAUUAUUUUGCACUGUGCUUUGCUUCAAUCACCAUAAAUAUAACAAAACUGUAGAGACAUUUAC
Long non-coding RNA from Stegodyphus dumicola, 1517 nucleotides. The record is from RefSeq and is a predicted model, not a curated record. Lineage: Eukaryota; Metazoa; Arthropoda; Arachnida; Araneae; Eresidae.